CUGGGAAACGAUGCGAUCUCCCUUGCAAGAGGAAUAAGUCGAGUCAUACCGCAGUAAUGUCGUCAGAAGCUAAACAAUAACAACACCUCAGCGACAGUUAAAUAUUAAUGGCUGUUGAUGAGAAUAAGUCACUGAGUUUUACUGCUUAAACUCAUGUGCUUCAGUGUUUUACCGUGUAAUGGUGUCUUACCAGAGGGAUCGGAGCUUCUCACAGUGAGCUCGUAUGUCAGGUCUGUGAAGAGAAAGGAGGGUUACUCACAUGUCUGCGCCGUGUGCACAUUUCACCCGCACACGCUAACUCGUCCAACAGCAGCGGAUGUGUGGUGGGAAACACAUCGUCCACUUCUAUAUGAUAUCGCCUAAGAAGGUGAAGAAGGUGCUGGAUUUCUACCGGAACAUGGCGAGAAGAAUUGCAGAAAACAAUCUUCCAGUUGGAAACACUCCCUGCACCAAAGUCCACGGAGAAAAUCAGCGAUUUUACGUAAAGGGGUUUGUUAAUCCACUGCUGCCUCCACAAGUAAGUUUAACCGCGUUAUCUUGUCACGUUGAUGUUUCUGAAUAUUUGUUGAGAUUUACCUCAGUGCCACAUACUUACCAAGACGAGCACGAGUGCAGCAGGAGCAGCUUCUGUGUCGCUGUGCGGUAAAAACACAAGAGUUACUCUAUGAACUCUGGUGUGGGAGAAUGAAAGGUUUCAGUGAGUCCUUUCAUGUCCACUGUGAGUCAAACUGCUUUGAUCAAAGUAAAAAAAAAUAAAGAAAAUACAAUAGAUAAUUGAUGGAAUUGACUGGGUGGACACCAGAGGGCAAUGUUGCUCUUUAAUUACAGUGAAGGCCCUUCAUCAUCAUCACCAUCAUCAUAGUGGGGGAAACUCCUCCCAUGCUGCGAUCACACAUCAGUCCUAACGUCAAGAUGAAAAAUUAAAUAAUUAAUGAAUUAAUUAAAUAAAAUGUCCAAAAGUCAUUAAAAAGCCCUAAAUAUCACAGUCCUACAGUCACACAUAUCAUGUCCAAUAAUUGAG
This is a long non-coding RNA of Solea senegalensis (Senegalese sole), 1021 nucleotides long. RefSeq lists it as uncharacterized. Lineage: Eukaryota; Metazoa; Chordata; Actinopteri; Pleuronectiformes; Soleidae. The transcript has 3 exons. The record is from RefSeq and is a predicted model, not a curated record.